GUGGAUGUGGUGUAUGGUGCACUGCUGCCUUCUAUAGUUGGAAUUGAUAUGAGUCGGUGUGGCAGCUCCCGGGGUUCGACUCCCCGCGUCCGCA
Molecule: non-coding RNA, 94 nt
Organism: Mycena leptocephala
Lineage: Eukaryota; Fungi; Basidiomycota; Agaricomycetes; Agaricales; Mycenaceae
Source: the annotation of a GenBank genome assembly